GUAGGUGGCAAGCGUUGUCCGGAAUUAUUGGGCGUAAAGCGCGCGCAGGCGGUUCUUUAGGUCUGAUGUGAAAGCCCACGGGCUCAACCGUGGAGGGUCAUUGGAAACUGGAGAACCCGAGUACAGAAGAGGAAAGCGGAAUUCCACGUGUAGCGGUGAAAUGCGUAGAGAUGUGGAGGAACACCAGUGGCGAAGGCGGCUUUCUGGUCUGUAACUGACGCUGAGGCGCGAAAGCGUGGGGAGCAAACAGGAUUAGAUACCCUGGUAGUCCACGCCGUAAACGAUGAGUGCUAAGUGUUAGGGGGUUUCCGCCCCUUAGUGCUGCAGCUAACGCAUUAAGCACUCCGCCGGGGGAGUACGGCCGCAAAGGCUGA
This 374-nucleotide ribosomal RNA is filed under the name uncultured organism. RNAcentral describes it as "partial 16S ribosomal RNA". It matches the Rfam family "Bacterial small subunit ribosomal RNA", at positions 527 to 897 of the family's 1533-position model. The record is from RNAcentral.